UGGAGGUGUAGCUCACGAGGUAGAGCGUCUGUUUGAAGCACAGAAGGUAGUAGGUUUGACUCCUGCCAUUUCCAU
RNAcentral lists this transfer RNA (75 nucleotides) under Periweissella ghanensis. Its description in RNAcentral is "tRNA-Phe". It matches the Rfam family "tRNA". Rfam says of the family: Transfer RNA (tRNA) molecules are approximately 80 nucleotides in length. Their secondary structure includes four short double-helical elements and three loops (D, anti-codon, and T loops). Lineage: Bacteria; Bacillati; Bacillota; Bacilli; Lactobacillales; Lactobacillaceae. The record is from RNAcentral.